This 1004-nucleotide ribosomal RNA is filed under the name Faecalibacterium prausnitzii. RNAcentral's name for it is "partial 23S ribosomal RNA". It matches the Rfam family "Bacterial large subunit ribosomal RNA", at positions 446 to 1459 of the family's 2925-position model. The record is from RNAcentral. Lineage: Bacteria; Bacillati; Bacillota; Clostridia; Eubacteriales; Oscillospiraceae.
GGGGGGACCACCCUCCAACCCUAAAUACUACCCAGUGACCGAUAGCGUAUAGUACUGUGAAGGAAAGGUGAAAAGCACCCCGGGAGGGGAGUGAAAAAGAACCUGAAACCCUGUGCCUACAAGCACCUAGAGCACGUCAAUGUGUGAUAGGGUACUUUUUGUAGAACGGUCCGGCGAGCGAUUGUAUGCAGCAAGGUUAAGGACUUAAGGUCUGGAGCCGAAGCGAAAGCGAGUUUGAAAAGGGCGUUAAGUUGCAUACAAUGGGCCCGAAACCGGGUGACCUACCCAUGGUCAGGUUGAAGUGGAAGUAAAAUUCCAUGGAGGACCGAACCGACCUCCGUUGAAAAGGCGGCGGAUGAACUGUGGGUAGCGGAGAAAUUCCAAUCGAACCCGGAGAUAGCUGGUUCUCCCCGAAAUAGUUUUAGGACUAGCCUCAAGUUAGAUACCUGGAGGUAAAGCACUGAAUAGCCUAGCGGCCGAGAGGUUAGCGAAGCUUAUCAAACUCAGAAUGCCAGAGUAUUGAUGCUUGGGAGUCAGACAGUGUCAGAUAAAUGUCAUUGUCAAAAGGGAAACAGCCCAGAUCUACAGCUAAGGUCCCAAAGUCAGGUUAAGUGGAAAACGAUGUGAAGAUACGUAGACAACCAGGAUGUUGGCUCAGAAGCAGCCACACAUUCAAAGAGUGCGUAAUAGCUCACUGGUCGAGCGUCUUUGCGCGGAGAAUUUAACGGGGCUAAACCUGACACCGAAGCUUAGGCAAUACAGCAAUGUAUUGGGUAGGGGAGCGUUGUAUACGCGGUGAAACAGUAGCGCAAGCGGCUGUGGAGUGUAUAGAAGUGAGAAUGCCGGAAUGAGUAGCGCGAAUGCAGUGAGAAUCUGCAUGGCCGAAAGCCUCAGGUUUCUGGAGGAAGGUUCGUCCGCUCCAGGUUAGUCGGGAGCUAAGGUGAGGCCUAACGGCGUAGCCGAUGCACAGACGGUAGAGAUUCCGUCACCACCAAAAGAGUUAA